Long non-coding RNA from Lolium rigidum, 2788 nucleotides. RefSeq lists it as uncharacterized. The transcript has 4 exons. NCBI's taxonomy places the organism in Eukaryota, Viridiplantae, Streptophyta, Magnoliopsida, Poales, Poaceae. The record is from RefSeq and is a predicted model, not a curated record.
UGGGCACGAAAAGUAAAGGAAAACGCCCGACGAAAAGAAAAGGAACACGCAAGUCUCCUACCCACUCCCCACUUCCCCAACCCUCGUUCCCAACAGCUGGGUGCAGGUGGCGGCGGUGAGAUCGGAGAAGGAGGUGGGCAGUGCUCGUUGGCGGAUGCGGGGGCAGGCUGCAGCGUUGGAGGUCGGAGGAGAAAGGAUCUGGGAGGUGGGGGCAGGAGGCGUUGGAGAUCGGAAGAGAUGGGGGAAAGCCGUGUGGUGGGCGGCGACCACGGACGGAUAUGGGCGCAAGUAGUGAUGGAGGUCGGAGGAGAUGCAAGGAGGGCGGCCGCUAGAUCGGGGAGGCUGUGGAGCAGGGCGGCAGCAAUGGUGAGGAGUUGGAGGAGAGCGGCGGGGUGGAGGCGCGUGGAGAAGAAGAGAAAAAUGGGGAAUUGUUUUAGGUCUCCACCUCUUUCUUUCCCUUGCCGACGUUCGUCGUAGCGAGCAGAAGAGAUGAGUAGAAGAUUUGGUCCGCCCCUUCGCCUGCCAUGGAUCUGCCAUAAUUCUAAAUAAUUCAAGCACGAGGAGAAAAUGAACCCAGUGGAGCACAGGGAGGAUCGCAGCAGUAAAUGAUUUUGUUGGUAAUAUGUUGGGCGAGAUUGCACAUAAUUUAUAACCUUCGGGUUGGAGUCUUAGUCCAUUUUCUAGGAGAUAGGUACAACAAUGAAUAUUAGGUGGCAUUGCAAAACAACAUCACCUACAUGUUUUCUAAUAUCCAACUGUCUAUGCAUAUAAAAUACAGUGAAUUAGCAGAGAUAGCUGACGGGAGAAAGGGCACCUUCGAGCCAUCACAUGGCAACACGGUUGAGCCCUUUGACUCAAUGGCCACGGCAAUCUGGAUGUACUAAUUUAGCUCAUUUUUGUUGUUGUUGCGUAUACUGGCUUCAUACUGUUGUAUGGAUGAAAAUCUCCCCCUGAUACGUAGGUUUACCACUACUACUACAUCUGUCCAUAAAAGGAUGUCGCAAGUUUGUCUAAAUUUAGAUAUAUCUAGACACUCUUUAGAGUGUAGAUAGAUCCGAAUUAAGAUUAAUCUCCGACAUCCUUUUAUGGACGGACGGAGUAUUUUACAUUUUGUGCUCAUUCGGAUCCAGCCAAACUGACCCAAGGGAUUUGAUGUUGCGAUUCGUGUCAGGUAAGUUUGUGUCUUUAUCUGUGGAAAAUCACAAACAAUCAAAUUGUAUAAAUAGAGUCCUACCUAAUAAACUUAUUUUCACAUCCCUCAAGGCUACUGUUAUUUUAUUUUGGCCGCAAUAAGGCAUUCAUAAUUUCCCCUCUAUUAUUUAUUUGCAUUGUCUAAUUUUUUUUCUCUACAAAUAAUUUAAUUGUUGGUUCUUAUCUGUGGAAGUUGAUUUGAAUUUGGUAUAAUGGUUUUGCCAGAUGUAUUCUGCAUACUCAAAGAAUUUCUUUCAAUUUCUAUUGUUGACAUUUGCCCACGUAUUGCUUUUCAUUUUAGGUUGUAAGUGCCAUACCCUCCGUGAAGUAUUGAAUUUGUUUGCAUUUUUCCUUAGAUUAUCUUUUAGUCUUGACCUUUCCUAUAUUGCUCUUGAGCAUUCUGUUCUUACUAUACUAUGGCUAUUCUAAUUGUAAGAGAUGCAUCCUUACUGAAUUAUUUUAUGUUUAUUAUCAUAAUAGAUUUAUGUAGCUUCUUAUGCACAGGAAAAACAGUGAAUCCAUUUCUUCAAAUAUGAGGUUGAUGUCUAGGCCCGGCCCAUGGUUUCUUGGAUUAUGAAAAGGAAUAUACUCAGUUCAGCUAUUACCAAGCCAUAGGUGUGCGUUCUUUGUUAUGAAAUGAGAAGUGCACGCCUUUUGUUGUGAACUGAAAUCCUAUAUGGGUUGUGAUUUUUUUUGUUCUGUGCAUUGGAAAGAAAGCAGUGGUGUAUGUUUGGGAUAAAAAAACAUUGUGGAUGAAAGGGAUUAGUUCUACUAGGGACAUAAUUAUUGAAACAUAUCUGCAUGUAUUCUAUUUUUGUGGUUCUAACUAAUAUUAGGAUCUUACUUCUUAUUCCAUUUAUAUAGAAUCUCGGGUUGAUAUUUGGAUCAUUAGGAAACGGAUGGGGCAAGAGGAUCAGCGAGUCGCCAAGUAUCCCUUCGAGUCGAAGAGGUCUUUGUUAGCAUGUCAUGCAUCACCAAGCCAGGCGCUUCCUCACACAUUUUUCUUGGCACAACUACUCUGCCUUUUAUAAUGCUUGCACGGUUAAUCCAACUUUCGAGGAUCUUACUGACGUAUCAUCAUGGACCAGAAGGGACGUAAACUGCAUGUUGUGCAGGCAUGGGUUUCACCGACUGAAGAGAUCAUCAAAUCAAAUAUUGAUGGCUACACAGGGAAAUUCUCAUGGUGGAUGGGAUCUCAUCGCAAGGAAUUGCAAGGGUUAGACCAUGGCGGCAAGAGUUGGGUGAAGAUCAUAGCCGGGAUGCCUUCUCUGCAGAACUGAGAGCAGCUGAGGAAACAAUUAACCUGGCAUUUGAUCUGGGAAUCAUCCGCGUGGAGGUGGAAAAGACGUGAUGCUUGUCCACUAGGCAUUGAACAAUACUCAAGAGUUUCAGUGCUAGACGUUAUUUUGUGACUGCAGUAUAAGCAUGUGUGCUCUGCUGACCAAGCAGCCUAUGGCCUGGUGAAUUUGAGUGCUAAGUGUAAUGUGAAUGAAACCAUGUAUUGGGAGUAUGAAUUAGCAGCACCUAUUGCUGGGAUUGUAUGAGCUACCUGAUCUUUGAGUAAUAAAGCGAUUGCUCAAGUUCAAAAGAACAAAAA